Molecule: ribosomal RNA, 514 nt
Filed under: uncultured Bacteroidota bacterium
Lineage: Bacteria; Pseudomonadati; Bacteroidota
Description: bacterial SSU rRNA
Rfam family: Bacterial small subunit ribosomal RNA
Source: RNAcentral
GUAGGUGGAAUGUGUUGUGUAGCGGUGAAAUGCAUAGAUAUGACACAGAACGCCGAUUGCGAAGGCAACUUACUAAGCCAUUACUGACGCUGAGGCACGAAAGCGUGGGGAGCGAACAGGAUUAGAUACCCUGGUAGUCCACGCUGUAAACGAUGUUCACUCGCUGUCGGCGAUACACAGUCGGCGGCUGAGCGAAAGCAUUAAGUGAACCACCUGGGGAGUACGAUCGCAAGGUUGAAACUCAAAGGAAUUGACGGGGGCCCGCACAAGCGGAGGAACAUGUGGUUUAAUUCGAUGAUACGCGAGGAACCUUACCUGGGCUUAAAUGUAGAUUGCAUAAUUUAGAAAUAGAUUUUCCCUUCGGGGCUAUUUACAAGGUGCUGCAUGGUUGUCGUCAGCUCGUGCCGUGAGGUGUCGGGUUAAGUCCCAUAACGAGCGCAACCCUUAUCGUUAGUUGCUAGCAGGUAAAGCUGAGGACUCUAGCGAGACUGCCACCGUAAGGUGAGAGGAAGGU